This 94-nucleotide transfer RNA is filed under the name Zafaria cholistanensis. Its description in RNAcentral is "tRNA-Leu". Lineage: Bacteria; Bacillati; Actinomycetota; Actinomycetes; Micrococcales; Micrococcaceae. The record is from RNAcentral.
GCGGCGCUGGCGCAGGUCCGCGCGGACGCGGUCCAGGGCCGCGGCGACCACGGCCGGGUGACGGGGCUCCCCGGCACCGAGCCGGGCCGCCACC